Molecule: non-coding RNA, 230 nt
Organism: Cinara cedri
Lineage: Eukaryota; Metazoa; Arthropoda; Insecta; Hemiptera; Aphididae
Source: the annotation of a GenBank genome assembly
UUAAUGAAAACGUACUGAAAUCAAAUUCACUUUAUACGUCUGUCGAUUACUCGUAUAAUACCAUCGGUGCCGUUGGGUUUUAGAAACUUCUGGUGUACUCGAAACGUUUAAUCUCGUUUGUUUUGUUUUUUUAAACACACCGCGGGAGUUUACACAACGGUCGUAUUACGCCGUGUACACAUAAAAUUGGAAGUGUUCCCUGAAAACCGAUUCUCCGGGUUCUCGGCGGC